GACGAACGCUGGCGGCGUGCUUAACACAUGCAAGUCGAACGAAGUGGCGAACGGGUGAGUAACGCGUAAACAACCUGCCCUUCAGAGGGGGACAACAGUUGGAAACGACUGCUAAUACCGCAUACUGAAGGCGGGGAUUGCGUCGGAAUAGCGAGGUGGAGGGGUAACGGCCAACCAAGGCGAUGAUCAGUAGCCGGUCUGAGAGGAUGAACGGCCACAAUGGGACUGAGACACGGCCCAGACGCCUACGGGAGGCAGCAGUGGGGAAACUUCCGAAAUGGACGAAAGUCUGACGGAGCAACGCCGCGUGAGUGAUGACGGCCUUCGGGGUGUAAAGCUCUGUUAAGCGGGAAGCGGUACCGGAAUAGAAAGCCACGGCUAACUACGUGCCAGCAGCCGCGGUAAUAC
RNAcentral lists this ribosomal RNA (408 nucleotides) under uncultured bacterium. Its description in RNAcentral is "partial 16S ribosomal RNA". It matches the Rfam family "Bacterial small subunit ribosomal RNA", at positions 28 to 526 of the family's 1533-position model. The record is from RNAcentral.